Molecule: small nucleolar RNA, 80 nt
Organism: Esox lucius (northern pike)
Lineage: Eukaryota; Metazoa; Chordata; Actinopteri; Esociformes; Esocidae
Gene: SNORD79
Rfam family: Small nucleolar RNA SNORD79
About the family: snoRNA U79 or Z22 is found in intron 7 of the gas5 gene in humans and is also present in mice. U79 is a member of the C/D class of snoRNA which contain C (UGAUGA) and D (CUGA) box motifs. Most of the members of the C/D box family function in directing site-specific 2'-O-methylation of substrate RNAs.
Source: Ensembl
CGCUGUAAAUGAUGAUUGUUAAAAAAACAAUGGGAAUCUCUCUGAAAAAGAAUGAAAGAAAUGUUUUUACUGACACAGUG